CCCCAUUCCCAGCGGAUGCUGGAUAACAGAGCUUUUACUGUAAUGAAUUUUAGGUGUACAAAUGCUGAUCAGAGCAGUAAAAUACAGAACCAGGGACCCUAAAGCAGCACCCUAAAUGCCAAAUGCUAGUAGUUAUGUCACUCUGUGAAUUGGUUUCCACUACAUGUCCCAUUCUACAAUGGGCAAUUCCCAAAGUAAUACCUCUCCCCAAGUCUUUGCUCUAGUUGCCAUAGAGGCAACAGCAGGGAAUAGCUGCUGCUUCCUUACCUCUCAAAGUAGUUAUGAAUCUCAAUUUUCUCUGAUUUCACUGUCUCUGAUAAGUGCUUGCCUGCCUGACAAUUAGUGAGCAAUGGCAGGGGAAUCUAACUUCAAGAUCAUUUGGUACUGAAUCAAAGAUGAGGCCACAGGCUGUUGUCUGGCAGUACUGGUGGGUUUGUCCUAUGCUUGCCCAGUUUUUCCUCUCCUCUCUGUUCUUUAUCUGUCACUUUUCUUCUCUAACUUCCAUCCAAGAUGUGGCCAUCAAGAUCCACCUCCUCCUUGUUGUCUGCUGUGUUACCCUGUCCAAGUUCCUGUUCAGACUUCUUGUUGCCCCUGCAUCAAGUCCAAGUUCAGUCCUUCCAGGGAAACGGUACUGAGCUUGUCUCUUGCUGUACCCUACUGCCAAUGAAUCCCACCACACUAGUCUCAGUUCUGCUACACCAUUCCUGACAGCUGGAAUGACUUCCUUAGCCAGGCAUGUGGAGGCUUUUCCUCACACCUACUUGAAGCUCUUCUUUUCUGUGAAGCCUACUAACAAUCAUCCACUUCAGUAGCACAGUGGCUCACCCAGUGGCAAGAAAAGAACAUCACUUCUGUUACCUGAACCUCCCCCUGGCAUGUCUGAUUUUUGUUGCCUAUUUACAUUUUAGACUGGAUUGUGCUAGUCGUUCCUUCUUGUGUCCUUAAAACAAAUGUCUACUGCUUUUAAAAGUAAGAGAGAAUUUCACACCUUUGAGUUCCACACAGGUCAGAGCAUACUAAAUGUAAUGGCUUGUAGGAAUGUCAAUUAUGGUCUGCUUGAUCUGCUUUGACAUUCAAGCAUCAGAACUUCUUAUGUCCUUGCAAGAUGGACAUGUUGCUUUUACGCUGUGCCUGAUUUAGGUAGUUCACUGGCUGUGAUCAGUUGGAUAGAUGGGCAAAGUACCUCCUAAUCCUACCUCAGUCCAGCUUCCUAAUAUAUUCUUUAAAAAAAAAUUGUUUGCUUGUUUGUAUCUGCUUUUGCCAAUUUUUCUAAUGACUGUUUUCCCUUGAAUACCAGAUGACCAGAGUCAGGCUUUGAGUUUAUUCACAGACUUAAGUGCUGUGCUGGAAUAUGUCCUUGAACCACUAGCCUUCCACUAUUAAGUUCUGAAUGGUAAUACUAUUUUUAAUGUUGAUAGCUGGAAAUCAGCCUCCAAUAAAUCCACUGAAACUUGGUGGCUUCAAGCAAAAUAUGUUGUUGUUUGUGUCUCAUAUUGAGAAAAACCCUACGUGGCAAGUGGGGUCACUAAUAUCACACUUGGUUAUGAUGCUGAUGUUGCACCAUUGUGUCUUGGGUAAGACUAGAGCCUGAGGUAACGUGUGCAUUACAAACACCUAUAAAGUGAUCUUUUCCUUCAAAUAUUAGUGCUGCUACCUCAUGACUUUUACUGCAAGUCUUAUUGUGUUUGGUGUUUUUACUUAAAGCCCCAGCUCCGUGAGUUAGGUGACUGAGAGAACCUCAACAUUUUUAUUUUAAGGCCCUGACUUCAAGCCGAGCUGGUUGCGGAGCAAAGCUUGAAUAUGUGGCUCAAGUGUUCCCUUAAAACAUGAAGGCAUGAAAAAACCCCCAUGUCUGAUUCUUCUUUUAAUAUCUCGAGAUUUAAGGGGUUGUAGGGUGGGGGCAGACUGUGCCUUCUGGAAUGAUUGGGGUGGGGAAUGCUGUAUGCGGGCUAAAGAUAAAUGAAUCAACUGACAUUUAAAAAUUAAUUAAAAGACAUUAAAAUGCAUGGGCCAUGGAGUAUGACUGGUUGGUUUUGCUUCCUGGUUCUCAUGCUUUAGCAUGAGGUGGCUGUCUGGAUUUCUAACACUGUAAUGGAAGGCUCAAAUUACAUGGAUACUGUUUUGCCUUGUCAUGAAAACUUUUCUCU
Gavialis gangeticus (Gharial) is the source of this 2147-nucleotide long non-coding RNA. RefSeq lists it as uncharacterized. The transcript has 2 exons. Lineage: Eukaryota; Metazoa; Chordata; Crocodylia; Gavialidae. The record is from RefSeq and is a predicted model, not a curated record.